CUGUUUUAGUUAGUAACUUACAUUAACUGAUCCACUUAGUCUCUUACAGUGACUGUAUUCCUACAGAACAGCCGUUAUGAAGGCAUUAUCAAGCAAAACAAUACAAACAAAGUAAAAGCUCUUUGAGGAUAAGUUCAUUUUGCUGAACAGAGGGUACGGGUGAGGUUAAAGAAGAGAGCCUCUGAGUUCUCAACCAACAGGAUCAAAUCAAACCACACCCAGUUAGUCUGGAACAAUGAGACCUCGCAGUGUUCUACACUGUCUAACCUCUCAGGACUCAUGCUGUGUGAGUGUGUGUGUGUGGACAUGGGUUAGUCUGUACGCGUGUGCGAGGCUGAAAGUGUUCCCCAGGGGGUAAGGGGAAAGGUCCCGUCUGUUAAUGUAGUAGCUUAUUAACAAAUGGUAGGGGUAAGAGUUAACACUAGUUACAGACCCUGUAUGGUAGGGGUUAGGGUUAGAGUUAACACUAGGUACACACCCUGUAUGGUAGGGGUUAGGGUUAACACUAGGUACACAUCCUGUAUGGUAGGGGUUAGGGUUAGAGUUAACACUAGGUACACACCCUGUAUGGUAGGGGUUAUAGUUAACACUAGGUACACACCCUGUAUGGUAGGGGUUAGGGUUAACACUAGGUACACACCCUGUAUGGUAGGGGUUAGAGUUAACACUAGGUACACAUCCUGUAUGGUAGGGGUUAUAGUUAACACUAGGUACACAUCCUGUAUGGUAGGGGUUAGGGUUAGAGUUAACACUAGGUACACAUCCUGUAUGGUAGGGGUUAUAGUUAACACUAGGUACACAUCCUGUAUGGUAGGGGUUAGAGUUAACACUAGGUACACAUCCUGUAUGGUAGGGGUUAGGGUUAACACUAGGUACACAUCCUGUAUGGUAGGGGUUAGAGUUAACACUAGGUACACACCCUGUAUGGUAGGGGUUAGGGUUAACACUAGGUACACAUCCUGUAUGGUAGGGGUUAGGGUUAACACUAGGUACACACCCUGUAUGGUAGGGGUUAGAGUUAACACUAGGUACACACCCUGUAUGGUAGGGGUUAGGGUUAACACUAGGUACACAUCCUGUAUGGUAGGGGUUAGAGUUAACACUAGGUACACACCCUGUAUGGUAGGGGUUAGGGUUAACACUAGGUACACACCCUGUAUGGUAGGGGUUAGGGUUAGAGUUAACACUAGGUACACAUCCUGUAUGGUAGGGGUUAUAGUUAACACUAGGUACACACCCUGUAUGGUAGGGGUUAUAGUUAACACUAGGUACACAUCCUGUAUGGUAGGGGUUAUAGUUAACACUAGGUACACACCCUGUAUGGUAGGGGUUAGAGUUAACACUAGGUACACAUCCUGUAUGGUAGGGGUUAUAGUUAACACUAGGUACACAUCCUGUAUGGUAGGGGUUAUAGUUAACACUAGGUACACACCCUGUAUGGUAGGGGUUAUAGUUAACACUAGGUACACAUCCUGUAUGGUAGGGGUUAUAGUUAACACUAGGUACACAUCCUGUAUGGUAGGGGUUAGGGUUAACACUAGGUACACAUCCUGUAUGGUAGGGGUUAGAGUUAACACUAGGUACACAUCCUGUAUGGUAGGGG
Molecule: long non-coding RNA, 1603 nt
Filed under: Salmo salar (Atlantic salmon)
Lineage: Eukaryota; Metazoa; Chordata; Actinopteri; Salmoniformes; Salmonidae
Description: lncRNA (ENSSSAG00000095491.1)
Source: RNAcentral